GGGAGCAAAGCAGUGGCCAUGUCCCACAAUGGGCAGAAAUAGAGGAUGGUCAGGAGGCAGCAGGGGGUCUUGAGCUGAGUCUGUGCAAAAAGAAUGACAAGAACAGAAUGAAAAAAUAGAGCAAGAAUGAGAGUAUUGAAAUAUGGGCUUGUCUCCAUUUAUUUUUGCCGUUGCUGCCCAGUACAGUGGACUAGGACACCUGACUUACUAAUCUUCUCUGACUUUAGGGAAGAAAAAUUACAUCAACCUAAACAGACUGUUAAAACAUGGAAAUCCUUGUCAGACUGAAGUUAUCUAUAUUGGAGAAUUAAGUACUAUAAAAGUAAUGGAAUACAGGCAAAAAUUAGAGAAAUUUGUUAUUUG
This is a long non-coding RNA of Poecile atricapillus (Black-capped chickadee), 363 nucleotides long. RefSeq lists it as uncharacterized. The record is from RefSeq and is a predicted model, not a curated record. The transcript is spliced from 3 exons. Lineage: Eukaryota; Metazoa; Chordata; Aves; Passeriformes; Paridae.